Molecule: non-coding RNA, 5479 nt
Organism: Sus scrofa (pig)
Lineage: Eukaryota; Metazoa; Chordata; Mammalia; Artiodactyla; Suidae
Source: RefSeq, a predicted model, not a curated record
GAUCGAACUCAUGGAUACUGGCUGAAUCUGUUUCCGCUGCACCACAAUGGGAACUCUUCCAAUGGUAAUCUUAAGUGAGCAAACUUGAGGAGAUCUAUCUUCAGGAGUGCUUACAAACGUUACGCCACCCAAGAGCAAUAACAACAGGGCCUUGAAAGUUAAUGACAAGGACAAACAAACAAUAUUUUUAAAGUACUAUAAACUAGGCACUAUGCGAGCCCUUUAUAGAAGGAGGGCUUACACCUUGUUUGAUCUUCAUAUCUUAGCUUCAUAUCUUCAGAUCUUAGGAUCUUUUUUGACCCUCACAACCACCCUAUAAGGUAGGUAAUAUCAUUCUUGACAGACUAAGGCUGUACGAGAUUACAUAAUUCUUCCAAGGUCACGUGGUUGGUUAGUGAUGGAGCCAGGGUUUGAAACUAGGUGGACUGAGUCUUCACCACUACUCCAAUUCGCCUUUUCCAGGCUCACUGUUUCAAACUGUCUGUUCCUCUGCCAACCCAAGGGCCGGGGGAGGGCCUGAGGAGCCCAGAGGCCCAUCUCUGGGAAGACAGUGAUGGAAGUACCUUGUGAGCAUCUUAUCAACUCAUCUGAACUCUGUGUCACUCAGGCGCUACACUCGGCUUCCUUUGUUCUGAUGUACAGCGAUAACCCAAGGCAAGGGGUUUCCAGAAAGACGAGGCAUGCCCUGUCUUGGCACGUUAUUUGACCUCGCUCAACUGGCCCCACCACUGGAUGCAUGCAGGUCAGGUGGCCUGCAACUGACCCUCUCUGGGUGAAGGCUUAAAAAUCUGGUCAGGAUCGAAAAGUUAUUUCACAUAACAGGGCUCUGAAAGUGGAAAAGUACCUGAGGAGUGGCUAGAGGUGGUGGGAAGGCUGGAGAAAGGUAGGUGGGAAAGGUGUCAGUUACUAUAAAUCUGUAACUUUAUUUUCAACUAGAAAAUUCAGGGGUCUCUAAUGCCUUUUGACUUUCAAGCAUUCCUAUGUGAGGGCUGGCAUAAAUGCUCGUUAGUGCUGUUUAUGGGAAAUUUAAGGUAGAAGGAAUCUGUUUACUGGCUUUUCAGAAAAGGUGAUUUCCUGCCCAGUGACCUAAUUGGUCAGGAAAUAGAUAAGUGACUCUUCGCUAUGCUUAUUUUAAGCAGACAUUAUAAAAAUUGGGGCAUUCUCUCUCUCUCUCUCCUUUUUGGUGAUUGUGAUAUUUAGAUCUGCCAAGGCAGCAUGACUUCAUUGUACUGGAAUCUGGCUGAUUCCAAUACAAAAAAAAAAAAAAAUCAAAUAAGUGAACUCGGUUUUGAAGAUAUUUUCAUUAUUGGGGAUGUUUCCUUGUCAAAGGGUCGAGCUUGGAGAAGAGUUUGGGUAAGCGGCCGAGAGAAAAAUCGAAUUGAUUUACAUGGAAGUCAGGCCUCUCAGAAAAAAGACUGAGAUCAUUCAUACUCUGUUCUCUCAGAGGCACUUUUAGGGAAAAAGGAGUAAAGAACAAAUGAAAGUCAAAUGCUUGAUGAUCCAAAAGAAAUGGGUAUAAUUUUAUUUAUCUUCAAGUUCAGCUGUAAAAGCGACUAGUUGCAAACUUUAUUCCCUCUGCUCUCUCUGAGGACCUCAGCCUGACCUUGUGGAACCUUCUUUCUGGGAAAUUAAAGAAUUUCCAGGAUUAGCUCAAGUUCUGAGGCUGCCAACUGUGACAAUCUACAAAACUCUCUUAGGUAAUGAUUCAGACCCCUCUUCUGCUCCAGGCCAAGAUGGUCCCUGAUGAGUUGGAAAUAUUCUAAUUUCCUGGACCUAGACCACAAGGCGAAGUGACCCUGGAAGAAUUUCAGAAGGGCAAGUUCAACACGUCUGCAUACUAAAGACUCAACAACUGAUAUACAUGUAACAACAGAAAUGUAAUUGAACUUGAAAAGCAAGAAUUAAGGGGUCAUCAGAAACAAGUUUACAAAAGAACACCGGAAGGGAGGAAGGAAGGAGGAAAGAAGGCAGGGAGGGAGGGAGGAGGGGACCACAGGGAAGGGAAGGGGUGGGGAGGGAGGAGGAAGGGAAGGAGGAAGAGAGGGCAGAGAGAGAGAAAGAAAGCUUUAUGAAUUUAAUAAUAAUUGGUCUCCACCACCUGAUUCUGAAGGAAGUCAUUUUCUGAACAUCCCCUGAUAUGAACUUUUGAAUUCUCCAGCAGAAGGCCAAGUUUCCAAUGCUGAUCGGAUAAAAUGCCAAAUAUCUCUCAUCAUUAUAAUCCCAAGAUGAGGAAAAAGAGGAAGAACGAAUCAAUAUUCUCAGUUUAUUGUCGAGGGGCCCAGAGAAGGGUCAGGCUUGAGAGCCCACCAAGGACUGCACUAGUUAAACUAGAUGUCACCCUGAUCCCUCCUCUGACACUCGUCUUUCCUUACAUCUCCUAAACCAUGCAGACAGCUGGGCAGGUCAAUUCAGAACGCAGCCUCCUCAAGAUGGACCAACAUUUAGAAGACUUUGGUAGAUCUGAUAUAUUAAACAAGAAAGCUGAAUUCAUGUUGUGAUGCAGCGUAAACGAAUCCGACUGGGAACCAUGAGGUUGUGGGUUCGAUCCCUGGCCUCGCUCAGUGGGUUAAGGAAUCCAUCAUUGCCAUGAGCUGUGGUGUAGGUCGGAUCCUGCAUUGCUGUGGCUCUGGUGUAGGCCGGCAGCUACAGCUCUGAUUGGACCCCUAGUCUGGGAACCUCCAUAUGUCAUAGGUGCAGCCCUGAAAAAACAAAAACAAAAACAAAAAACAAGAAAGCAAGUCACAAAGCAGUAUGUACACUAUGAUCUAAUUUUUGAAAAAAAUUUACAUAAGGGUAUGCUUAGAAAAGUAGACAGAAUUAUAAACACUGAUAUCUUACCUUACCUUACUGAAACGGCAUUAUAAUUUUUUUUUUCUUUUUGGCUAUAUAUUCUAUUGGCACAUAGAGUAACCUGGAUAAAUUUUAUAAAUACAAUGUUGAGCAAAAGAAAGUGUUACCAAAGAAAACCUACUAUAUGAUUCUGUUUACAUAAAGUUUAAAUACAGGCAAAACUCACCUAUGCUUGUAGAAAUCCAGAUGGUGGUUACUUUUGUGUGUGGGGGCGGGGGGGAUUAGGGGUAAUGACAGAAAUGGGGAGCUUCUAGGGUAUAUUAACAUCUUCUUUCUUAAUCUGUUCUGGUUACACAUGUGUGUUUGCUGAAAAGGUUCAUGGAGUUGUACACUUAUGAUAUAUAUAUCUGUGUUACGAUUCACUUUUAAAGUUACUUAAAUGUAAACCGCAUCCAACGAGAUCUGCAUCCAGAGGGUUCCUCACACAUACUGUCAGGAAGUCUAGAGAAAUGACUAUUACUUUUGGGUGGGGUGAGAUAUUUCAACGUGCCUUUGUGUGUACAUUCAUCCCAAUUGGAUGGUACUGAUCACAAGAAGGGGGCUACAGUAUUUUCUUAGCUCCAUCUCUGAUAAAGGGGCUCUGGAACCAGGCUCCUGGAGUGCAGAGAGACAAACACAAGUUUACGUCAUGGAAGGGUCUUGAUUUGUGCCUAUCAGUGUCCUUCACAUCUUCCUUGACAACAGUGUAUUGAUGGAGAUUCUAGAAGUCCAAGUUUUCAUUUGACUCGGCCUCACUAUAAGGCUUGAUGAAUCAGCCUGGACCAGAUGCAGCCACACGGGGAGGUGCACUUCCCACAUGGAGCUUGCAUUCUUAAAAACAAGCGAAAGUGGCUAAAUUUGUUAGAAGAGAGGCUCUGUGAAGGCUGGGACCUCAUAACCCCAGAGCCUAAUGCAAGUCCUGGCAUAGAACACAGGCUCAAUAAAUAUUUUUGACAUGAGUGAAAGUAUAAAUCCACUUUCAGAAAGAAGAAACUGUUCUAGCUCGAGCAGAAGUUACUAUGAACGGUAAAGGGAAAGGGAAAAGAUGGAGCAAGAUGUUAUAUAUUUAGUGACUUGUAUCUCUGACUCAAGUAAACCAGGUCAGGGAUGAGGGGAUUUGUGUUGCUGUAGAUUUUUGGUAAAACCACUAAGGAAAAAGCACCAUCCAAGAACAAUAUAAUCUAGCCCAGAAAUGUCAUUUAAAAUUUUCUAAUAUCCACAUGAAAAAAAGGUGAAAUAAAUGUGAAUGAUAGAUUUUGUUUAGUAUAGUAUAUCCAAAACGUUACCAUGUCGCCAUGUAAUCAAUACGAAAAUGAAGAUAUUUCACAGUAGUUUCCUUGAUACUAAGUCUCUGGAAAUCCAACAUGUAUUUUAUAUUUACAGUCCAUUUCAAGUGCCUAAGAGUCACAUGAAUCUAGUGAUUCUUGAAUAUGCAGUGCAGGUCUAGGGAAAUAUCUAUUUGGUGGAAGUUCUUUUAUAAAAGAUGAACAGGGUGUGUGUGUGUGUGUGUGUGUGAGAGAGAGAGAGAGACAGAGAGACAGAGAGAGAGAGAGACAGAGAGAGAGAGAGAGAACCUGUCUUGAUGGUAUUUAGCAUUGGUUUCCAUCUAUUCCUGAAAUCAGCCAUGUCCCAGUCUUUCGUUUCUAUAGAUAUGCCAGCAUCCCCAUGAUAAUUUCGACUUUCUGCCUAAGCUCCUUCGAGUGUGGUUUCUGUCACACACAAUGAGUCCUAACUGAUAAAUAUAGAGAAAACACGCCCAUGGGUUUGUCCUGCUUUAGAGGCACAAUAUCUGUCAAAGAGUUGACACUAAAUCAGCCUUGAUGAAGUCAUAAAUCAAGAAAUACAGUUACAACCAAAAAUUGGAUUCUGAAAGUUUUUUUCCUGUUACGCACUGUAGGUUGCACAAUCAAUUUGUACACUGCUUUUGAAAACAAAUGAACCCAAGUCUAGUUCUAGCUUGAAGGAUUCCAGGUGCAUUUGAACUGCACAUUCUGAAUCAAACAGGAGUUUAAUAAGGUGCAGGCGCUACAAGUUACCUGGAUGCUAUCCAUCUGAGACUGCUGCAAUGCAAAAGAAAUGAAAAUAACAGCCUUUCUAUCAGCCAGCAUCCCUCCUGCUUCGUCUCAGGGUUUGUCCACCUGCCAACACACAUUUAUUUCUGUGUGUCUUCAGUUAAACAUGGAACUGGAGUUUGAGGGGAAUGGGUCAACAGUUUAACUUCCCUGAGGAAAAAGCACCUGCCAUCGCUGAUUACCAUCGCUUGAACUGCUUUGUGAUUUAAAGGCCAUAACUAAAUUUGGUAUUUCGGUACUCUUUUCACUUCUGCUAGAGGCCCAGACCUGAACAGGAGAGAUGAUGAUAUCACUGCACAGUUUCCUCUCAACUCCAUGUUUCCCAUGUCACAAAGCAGCCUUUGGGCAUCCGAAGUUGCAUAUGUGGCCUCUGUUCCUAGGACACCUUUGCAGGCAAUUAGUGAUACCUUUGCAGCAAAGUUAGAAAGGCAGGGCUGAAUGAGAGGCAAACACAAUCCCCUUCCCACUGCUUGAUAGGAAAUCCUCCCGGGAUGAGAAAAGAGAGAGAAUUCCAUAAAGAGGAGUUUGGGAUUGGCUUUCAAAACCUCUAAUAGGAGUUCCCAGUGUGGCUCAGUGAG